CAGAAAUAAAAAUGAUCUAUCACUUGUAUUUUAUUAGGAAAGAAGUCUUAUUCAUGGUGAAAUUCUUGGAACUUUCUUUGGACUGCAGUGACAUCUACAGCUGGGUGAAUCAUGACCUUCAUACUCUGAGGUCUUUAAAGAAACAAAUGAAUUGCCCUGACACCACUUCCAGAUCCUGGACUAAGAAUGAAAAGAUUCCUCAUACUGUGCCACUGUGUUCAGUUAAAAUCAAGAAGAUGAACACUAAUAAGAACAGUGGGUCAUUUCUCUGGACUUUGCAGUCUUCCACAUUAUGCAUGAAUCUAUCCUACAGCCAUUUGGAGAAGCACUAGGAGCAAAUGAGCUAUGAGUCAUGGGAAGAAGAAAAGACAUGUCACAAAUAUUGAAAUUAAAUGCAAAAGAAAAUGACAAAUACUGGAAAUGUGAGUUGCCUAACAAGCGACAGAUAGUAGAACGAGGCAAAUGCUGGAAAUGGUAAGUAAUACAUGAAGACAAACACUGGGAAGAAAACACGGUAAAAUAAAAGAAUGGAAACAAUACA
This 541-nucleotide long non-coding RNA is filed under the name Phasianus colchicus (ring-necked pheasant). RNAcentral describes it as "lncRNA (ENSPCLG00000002754.1)". Lineage: Eukaryota; Metazoa; Chordata; Aves; Galliformes; Phasianidae. The record is from RNAcentral.